Molecule: transfer RNA, 68 nt
Filed under: Melinna cristata
Lineage: Eukaryota; Metazoa; Annelida; Polychaeta; Terebellida; Melinnidae
Description: tRNA-Ser
Source: RNAcentral
GGUAUUGCUGUUUUGGAAACAAAUAAUUUUGAAAGUUGUUAAAAGACGUUCAACUCGUCUGCUUGCCU